This 163-nucleotide ribosomal RNA is filed under the name uncultured bacterium. Its description in RNAcentral is "partial 16S rRNA". It matches the Rfam family "Bacterial small subunit ribosomal RNA", at positions 355 to 510 of the family's 1533-position model. The record is from RNAcentral.
UAGGGAAUCUUCGGCAAUGGACGAAAGUCUGACCGAGCAACGCCGCGUGAGUGAAGAAGGUUUUCGGAUCGUAAAACUCUGUUGUUAGAGAAGAACAAGGGUGAGAGUAACUGUUCACCCCUUGACGGUAUCUAACCAGAAAGCCACGGCUAACUACGUGUCA